This is a long non-coding RNA of Echinops telfairi (small Madagascar hedgehog), 880 nucleotides long. RefSeq lists it as uncharacterized. The record is from RefSeq and is a predicted model, not a curated record. The transcript is spliced from 5 exons. Lineage: Eukaryota; Metazoa; Chordata; Mammalia; Afrosoricida; Tenrecidae.
GGCGGGCCUGCUGCAGGGCGGAGGGGCUCACCUGUCACGGAGGGAAAGAAGAUGCCGACCAGCACGGUGAAAGACGUGGCGAUGUCGGCCACCACGUACAGGGGCAGGCUCUCCUUCAGGCCCGGGGCGUCUGUGGAGGGCAGCCCGGGCUUUGCCACCACCUCACCCUUCUCCAGGUCACAGAGCACCUGCCCAGGUGGCCGUGAAGACCCAGGGCUAAGGCACAGUGGCCAGGAUGUACAUGGCUGCUGCGAACGUCGUUCCCAGGUAGAAGCACAGGCCCACGGCACCUCCGAACUCUGGCCCCAGCGAGCGGGAGAUCAUGAAGUAGGAGCCCCCAGCUGCAGCAGAGAGACAGAGAGGCUCUUCUUUCCCCGGUUUCCCCGUGCCAAGUCCUCACAAAGGGUUGGGACAUCUACUGGGCCGGGCGGGCUUCAGUGACAGCAGUGGCUGGGUGGCCACCGUCCUCCUGUUCCAGCCACCACCAGGGCCACACCUUGGCGAGUCUGACUCCUCCUGGCCAGAAUGGGGCUGUGACCUGUGCUGCUUUUGUCCACAGAGCCUACCAUCAGCGCCCUCACUCACGCAGCAGCAGCAGAUGAGCACUAUGAGGAGAGACUGGAGCACCCCGGCCGUGCCCACCAUCCAGCAGGCCCUGAGUCACCGGAGCCACAGUCCCAAAGGUCAUCCCAGGCCCGACCUCUCUCCAGUCCAGAAGUCACGGCUUCCUGUCCACCCUGGCCCCAUGCCACCCUGCCAUGGGCCAGCCGUGUAGCUGGGGCCCCUGGGUGGCACCUUCCCCAUCAGCCUGUUGACCCCUCCACCGUCCAGCUCACUCUGCCGGAGCAGAGAAGGUCUCUGAAAGGCAAGUCUGACUUCG